AUUUUCAAAGUAUCGUCGAUAAACUGUGCGGCAAGAGAGGCAAGUUGCGUCCUUCUCAGGUCUACCUUCCGCGCGAAAUCUUGCCCACCGAUGCAACGAUACCAAAGAGUAGGAAAUAGCAUGCCAAGUCAAGACAGGAUAUCGUCGAGUUGCCUCCUCCUGUUGUACCUGAGCACUUCGAUAUGGGUGAUUGCCGGAAAUCCCAUUCGGUACAGGAUGAGACGGGAAGCGGAGAUAGCGUCGACCAACUGGACCGCGUUGGCCGACGAGUGGAUCGCGGCGAAGGCGCGGGCGGCCGAGAGGAUGGACGUGGCGUUGCUGCCGUUCAACGAGAGAUACAGGGAACUUCCGCCGACCGCGGCUACGGAGACCUACGUGGUUAACGGCACGAGUUCGGAUCAGAUGGCACGGCUGAAUUACUCGCGGAUGCUGUGGGACAUGGAGACGGUACAGCCGAGUGGUCACUUGUCCGGCUUCGUGGACAAGGCUCUCAAGCUGCUGGACCUGAGGCAAGUGAUGAUGGAGGUCGAGACCUCCGUGAUGUCCAAGGUAUCUUGCACCGCGUGCAAGGUCGGCGCCGGCCUGCUACAGCAUUACAUAAAGGCCGGCAAAAGCGACGAGGAGAUCAUGGCCAGCAUCUAUCAGUUCUGCGUGUCGCUCAACAUACAGAGCGCUCGGGUCUGCCACGGCGUCACUCUACUCUUCGGGGUGGAGGUGAUAUACGUGCUGAAGCAAGUGAGCAUGGGCCCGGCUCAGAUCUGCAGUUUCGUGAUCGGUGACGCCUGCGACGACGCGUUCAAUCCGCUCCAUGAGUGGGAGGUGGCCUUCCCGCCGGUCAAGAAACCGCCGAUCAAGCCGCCCAUACCGCCUCAGGAGGCCGCGCCGACUUUCAAGGUGUUGCAUAUCUCCGACACGCACUACGACCCGUAUUAUCAGGAGGGCGCGAACGCGGAGUGCAACGAGCCCCUCUGCUGCCGAUUGACGAACGGCGCGGCGUUGACCGCCUCGGCGGCGGCGGGUCGAUGGGGCGAUUACAGAAAGUGCGACACGCCGAAGAGGACGAUCGACCACAUGCUGAAGCAUAUCGCCGAUACGCACUCGGAUAUCGAUUACAUCCUCUGGACCGGGGACUUGCCGCCGCACGACGUGUGGAAUCAGACGCGGGAGGAGAACCUGAAGAUUUUGCGUGACACGGUCGCGCAGAUGGUGGAGAUGUUUCCAGGCAUACCGAUAUUUCCGGCCUUGGGAAAUCACGAGAGCGCGCCGGUUAACAGCUUCCCACCGCCCUUCGUGCCCGAAGAGAACAGCAUCUCGUGGCUGUAUGACGAGCUCGACAAACACUGGAGACGCUGGCUGCCGGCCGGUGUCUCGCACACCGUCCGCCGCGGGGCGUUUUACUCGGUCCUGGUGCGACCGGGCUUCAGGAUUCUCUCGGUCAACAUGAAUUACUGCAACAACAAGAACUGGUGGCUGCUGAUCAACAGCACCGAUCCGGUCAGCGAGCUGCAGUGGCUCGUGUACGAGUUGCAGGGCGCCGAGAUCAACGGCGAGAAGGUGCACAUAAUCGGUCAUAUUCCGCCCGGCCACUCGGACUGUCUCAAAGUCUGGUCGAGGAACUACUACCACAUCAUCAACCGUUACGAAUCGACCAUCGUGACCCAGUUCUUCGGGCACACGCAUUACGACGAGUUUCAGCUAUUUUACGACACGUCGGACUUGGGUAGAGCGCUCAGCAUUGCCUACGUCGGGCCCUCGGUCUCGCCCUACUACGAUCUCAAUCCUGGCUACAGGAUAUACUACGUAGACGGCGAUCAUCCGAAAACCACGAGAAUGGUCGUCGACCAUGAGACCUGGGUCAUGAAUCUCAAGGAAGCGAAUCUGUACGAUUACCCGAUCUGGCACAAGAUGUACAGCGCGCGGCAGGCCUAUCAAAUGGCGUCGCUCUUGCCGAAGGACUGGGACUCCCUGAUCGACAAGAUGACCAAUGAGCCGGCCCUCUUCGACCUCUAUUACAAGCAUUAUUACAAGAACUCCCCGGUGCGACCAACGUGUAACGACGAAUGUCGUAAGAGGCUGCUGUGCGACCUGCGGAGUGGAAGGAGUCACGACCGAAAGGCUCUCUGCCAGAGCCUGGAAUCGCGGAUCGACGUCGAGACGAGAACGGGUUGGCGUGCGUGGAUCUACAAGGGCCUCGCAUUAUCGUACGUAAAGGAUCUGUGGUACCAGCUUUACUCCGGCAACACUGAGACUAACGAAGUUGACUAACUCCGGGUGGAUAGGUGAAUGGAACGGACGAUCGCGCGGUCGUAGCGUGCACAGUCGGCGGAUCUGUUUGAUGUGCACGCUUCUCCAUUAGUAACAUUUAUAUUCGCGAUAAUCUCUUUGGAAUGCACGCGAAAGGUGGUGGACGCUAUUAUGAUAACGCGAAACUACUCAAGCUUCCUGAGUCUAACAACGGAAAUUGAUGAUUAUAUGUAUAGUCUGUAAUAGUCGUAAGAGUCGUCUGGAUCCUUGUAAUCGCGAAUGUAAUUAGUACUAGAUGCAAAUAACCCCGCUUGAUUGCGAGACAAGAGGAUCUACAGAAGAAACAUUAACAAUCUGUAGAAAUUAUUGAGAUAACGGGUCACAAGUAGAUAUACAGACUGAUCGAUCAGUACAUAUCGUUGUAUUGAUACAUUAGUUAUUAAUGUCGGUUGUUAAUUUGCUCAUUACCAAUGUGUCGAUAACGUACGCUCAUCAUUUGAUGAUUAGCAUCCCAUGUGGUGAUAUAGCUAUAUUUUUGUAAUGUAAAAUGAACGCACAUGUGAUUUAGUUUCCGCCAAUCCUCCAAUCCUCUGCGACGAAGUUAUUGAGUUAUUUUUAUUCGAUAAAAGUUAAUUGUUAUUCCAUAGUAGAAUUAUUGUUUCAUUGUUUAGUUUGCAUUCAAGGUAACAUGUCUUUGCGUUGGAAACUGAGCGAUCACAAAGGCAUGGAUUUGAUUAUCUUAUUUUCAGCUAUUUCGACCAAUGUUAACGAAGCAAUAUUAAUAACAAUAGUAAAUAUUAUAUGAAAAAUUGCGAAUCACUCGUGCCUUAUCAGAAAAGUAAUUACGAUUCUCUUAAGCGAAAUUAUUCGUAGAUCUCUGCGAAUAUAUUCGAUCACGUGAGCGGUCGUUGCGAGAAAUUUUAAAAACUAUGUGUUAACCGUGCAUUUUUCUCCUUCACUGGUUUCUUGCGUUAGAUAUAACAAUCUAUCUUCCAAUUUUCUCACUAGACUAAUAUGAGCCAAAAAUAUGUGUUUUCCUUCUCUGUUUACAAUUUAUUAACUGAUAUACUAUGUAGGCUUAAAUUUUAAGACUGUAGGAAGACGUAGACUUGAUAACGUGUAAAUGUUGAUUUUACUCUAAGCUCUGUAUUUAGCCCAAAAAUUUCUAACAAGCGAAUGUCGACCAAACUGCAUUUAGUAGUUCCUAGACAUCUAUUGAUGUAUCGCUUCAUAUAUAUUGCAUGUGUGCGAGUGAUUACGUAACACCUGCAUGAAAAACAUAAAAAGAGAGAGAAAGAGAAAGAGAGAGAGGGAGAGACAGAAAUCCAGAGCACUAACGAUGAUCAAUAAUGAAGAAGCUGUUCGAUUCGUGUGUUUCAGAGGUUUCUUCGCGAAACAUGUCGCGUUCUGAUUAGCUUCCAAUGCGCGGACAACGCGAAAAAUGCGCGCGUCACGAAUAAAGCGUUAUGAAUUUUUUUAACACACGAUCACACCUCUUAUCGCGAUCGGAUAAUGCAUGCUUUAUAUGUUUACACAAACGCACACACAUACACAUGUACGCCUGUAAAUACGUUCUUUCCUAACAGAACUUUUUCAAUAAAAAAUAGCAAACAAAAGAGAACGGUGUCGGGCCUCUCAAUUCACCAACAUGACGCGCACGUUUACGUUAUAAAUAAUUUUUAACGCUAAGCUUCGGCCGAUAACCCAUGCAGCACAGAUCUCCAAAGGACAUCCCGAAGACAUCCUGAGGACGUCCAUACAUCCUAAGAACGUCCUCAAGACGUCCUCAGGAUAUCCUCUGGAGAUUUUGUGCUGUUUGGGAAGCGACUAGCACGUUGUAAUCAGCAAUCGACUGCAAUCGCCGUUGUUUCACGAUACGUUGCACGCGAGUGCAGUUUUCGAGCUUUUUCCUACCUCACGAAUCAACGAGGAGCGACGUUUUAGAUGUGGUUUCACCUUGCUGGAAGGCGCCAAAAUUUGUAUGUGCAUAGACAAAGUCUCUGUAAUUGGUAACCUUGUUUGGUGGCGGAGCGUAACACGGUGGUUGAGAUUUCUAUCGUCGCACAACGUGUACUGUAGAUGUCGGUGGUGAUGGCCAUCCCUAGGUUCGCGUACAAUCUACCAAAGUACGUCCUAGGACUGGGUUAGAACAUGGAAACGACUAUGCCGUCGAGUGCAAAUGUGUGACUCAACUUGUGAUGUUAAAUUAUUAAAAUGCUCGUGACGUGUCGUAGCGUUCGUAGACAUGCGAGCCUCAAUGCCGUUGACGACCGACGACGAUCGCGUUCGUCGCAACUGAUUGCCGCGUAUUCGCGACUCGUAGAAUCUAACGCGCGGAAUCUCGCUCGAAACAAAGGGAGACUGAGGACCCUAACGUCUUUGAGAAACGUGUGAGUUAAGAUUAGAUAUUAAGAGGCUGGACAAAGAUAUUCGUUCCAAUUUAUCCGCCUUUUUUACCGGUUGUCCUAAUCAAUAAGCGUAAUCAAUAACUCUUUAUUUUUGAUCAAGUAUAUCUCGGGUGCGUAUAUAAGGAUCUGAGAAAAUAUUCGAAUAAAGACAAGGACACAUGGCGAUAUAUCGUAUCAUCAUUGAAAACUUCUAUUCGCGUGUUUUCCUCGUGGCGACUACAAAGCGCCUUUGUAUUUUCUCCAAUGUAACGCGCACAUUGUGUAAGAUAUGUAAAUACAAGUGAUUAUUGUAAUCGAA
This 4950-nucleotide unclassified non-coding RNA is filed under the name Harpegnathos saltator (Jerdon's jumping ant). Its description in RNAcentral is "sphingomyelin phosphodiesterase, transcript variant X3". The record is from RNAcentral. Lineage: Eukaryota; Metazoa; Arthropoda; Insecta; Hymenoptera; Formicidae.